This 468-nucleotide ribosomal RNA is filed under the name uncultured bacterium. Its description in RNAcentral is "partial 16S ribosomal RNA". It matches the Rfam family "Bacterial small subunit ribosomal RNA", at positions 28 to 507 of the family's 1533-position model. The record is from RNAcentral.
GACGAACGCUGGCGGCGUGCUUAACACAUGCAAGUCGAACGGAAAGGCCCUGCUUUUGUGGGGUGCUCGAGUGGCGAACGGGUGAGUAACACGUGAGUAACCUGCCCUUGACUUUGGGAUAACUUCAGGAAACUGGGGCUAAUACCGGAUAGGAGCUCCUGCUGCAUGGUGGGGGUUGGAAAGUUUCGGCGGUUGGGGAUGGACUCGCGGCUUAUCAGCUUGUUGGUGGGGUAGUGGCUUACCAAGGCUUUGACGGGUAGCCGGCCUGAGAGGGUGACCGGCGACAUUGGGACUGAGAGACGGCGCAGACUGCUACGGGAGGCAGAAGUGGGGAAUAUGGCACAAUGGGCGGGAGCCUGAUACAGCGACGCCGCGUGCGGAAUGACGGCCUUCGGGUUGUGAACCGCUUUCGCCUGUGACGAAGCGUGAGUGACGGUAAUGAAUAAAGAAGCACCGGCUAACUACGUG